GAUUCUGGCUCAGGAUGAACGCUAGCUACAGGCUAACACAUGCAAGUCGAGGGGCAGCAUAAAGUCAGCUUGCUGAUUUGAUGGCGACCGGCGCACGGGUGAGUAACGCGUAUCCAACCUUCCCUAUAGUAGGGGAUAGCCCGGCGAAAGUCGGAUUAAUACCCUAUGUUCUUCAUAGAUGACAUCUGAAAUGAAGCAAAGGUUUACCGCUAUAGGAUGGGGAUGCGUCUGAUUAGCUUGUUGGCGGGUAACGGCCCACCAAGGCAACGAUCAGUAGGGGUUCUGAGAGGAAGGUCCCCCACAUUGGUACUGAGACACGGACCAAACUCCUACGGGAGGCAGCAGUGAGGAAUAUUGGUCAAUGGGCGAGAGCCUGAACCAGCCAAGUAGCGUGCCAGGAUGACUGCCCUAUGGGUUGUAAACUGCUUUUAUAGGGGAAUAAAGUGAGGAACGUGUUCCUUUUUGUAUGUACCCUAUGAAUAAGGACCGGCUAAUUCCGUGCCAGCAGCAGC
RNAcentral lists this ribosomal RNA (512 nucleotides) under uncultured bacterium. Its description in RNAcentral is "bacterial SSU rRNA". It matches the Rfam family "Bacterial small subunit ribosomal RNA", at positions 15 to 518 of the family's 1533-position model. The record is from RNAcentral.